This 1525-nucleotide long non-coding RNA is filed under the name Brassica rapa (field mustard). Its description in RNAcentral is "long non-coding RNA (BRAP_LNC000804)". The record is from RNAcentral. Lineage: Eukaryota; Viridiplantae; Streptophyta; Magnoliopsida; Brassicales; Brassicaceae.
GUGGUGGCGGUGGGGCUCCUCCACGCAUUGGAGGUGGUGGUGGUGGUGGGGCUCCUCCAGGAGGAGGUGGUGGAGGCGGAGGUCCACCAGAUCUAAAUGGAGGUGGUGGUGGUGGCGGAGGUCCACUAGUUCCAAAUGGAGGUGGUGGUGGCGGCGGAGGUCCACCAGAUCUAAAUGGAGGCGGUGGUGGUGGUGGAGGUCCAGUAGAUCCAAAUGGAGGCGGUGGUGGUGGCGGAGGUCCUCCAGAUCUAAAGGGAGGUGGUGGUGGCGGCGGAGGUCCAUUAGAUCCAAAUGGAGGUGGCGGUGGUGGUGGAGGUCUACUGGAUCCAAAUGGAGGUGGUGGUGGUGGAGGAGGUGAAGUUUUACCAAAUGGAGGUGGUGGUGGUGGUGGUGGAGGUCUAGUAGAUCCAAAUGGAGGUGGUGGUGGUGGUGGUGGAGGUCUAGUAGAUCCAAAUGGAGGUGGUGGUGGUGGAGGAGGUGAUGUUUUACCAAAUGGAGGUGGUGGUGGUGGCGGAGGUCCAGCAGAUCCAAAUGGAGGUGGUGGUGGUGGUGGCGGAGGGGCUCCAUGACUCGGUGGUUGAGGAAUUGAACCUACGUGACCAAAAGGAGAUGGUGGUGGUGGUGGUGGUGGUGGAGGUGGUGGAGGGGCUCCAUGACUCGGUGGUUGAUGAAUUGAACCUACGUGACCAAAAGGAGGUGGUGGUGGUGGCGGAGGUGGUGGAGGAGCUCCAUGACUCGGUGGCUGUGGAGGAGGAGGAACUGAACUUACGUGACCAAAAGGAGGAGCAGUUGGAGAUCCAUAACUUGGUGGCGGAGGUGGAGGGAUAGGGACUGAAUGCGCUUUACUAAAAGGAGGAAGAGGUGGUGGUGGUGGUGGUGGUGGAGGUGGAGGAGCAGCAGAAAAACCGUUAAUAAGAGACGUCUUGGGUGAUGGCGAAGGUGCAAUACUCAUAUAAGGCAACGGGGAAGGAGUAGGAAUAUGACCUCCACUGGAUUUGGUUGUAUUUGAUGAACUAAAAGGAGGAGGAGGAGGUGGUGGUGGUGGCGGUGGAGGUGGUGGAGAAUUGUAAGAUGUAGAGCCUUCCUCAUGAGUUUCAAGAAUCGAAGCAUACCCAGGCUUCCACGGUGGUGGAGGCGGUGGUGGAGGAGGUUGAGAAGUAGAACAUGCCGUAGAAGUUGCCAAAGUCGAAGUAUACACAGACUUCCAAGGAAGAGACGGUUGCAACACGGUUCGAUUGUUUGGUUUCUCAGAUGCAAAAGGAGGAGGAGGUGGUGGUGCAGAAGGAGGAGGAGGUGGUGGUGGUGGCAACGUGGUUCCACUGUUUAGUCUCUCAGAUGGAAAUGGAGGUGGUUCCGGGAUAUGAGAUGUCUGAGAGUAGCUGUCAUUUUGUCUAUGCGAAGAAAAAGUAGACAGUGGUGGUGGUGGAGGUGGAGGUGGCGGUGGAGGAGGUGAUGCAGCCGCUUGUGAAACUGAAGUAGCCUCACUGGUUAACGAAGGCAGGGAGGGAGUUGCAGGUGGAUGCUG